GGGUUGUGAGGUUAAGCGACUAAGCGUACACGGUGGAUGCCCUGGCAGUCAGAGGCGAUGAAGGGCGUGCUAAUCUGCGAUAAGCGCCGGUAAGGUGAUAUGAACCGUUAUAACCGGCGAUACCCGAAUGGGGAAACCCAGUGUGACUCGUCACACUAUCAUUAACUGAAUCCAUAGGUUAAUGAGGCGAACCGGGGGAACUGAAACAUCUAAGUACCCCGAGGAAAAGAAAUCAACCGAGAUUCCCCCAGUAGCGGCGAGCGAACGGGGAGGAGCCCAGAGCCUGAAUCAGCAUGUGUGUUAGUGGAAGCGUCUGGAAAGGCGCGCGAUACAGGGUGACAGCCCCGUACACAAAAGCGCAUGUGCUGUGAGCUCGAUGAGUAGGGCGGGACACGUGGUAUCCUGUCUGAAUAUGGGGGGACCAUCCUCCAAGGCUAAAUACUCCUGACUGACCGAUAGUGAACCAGUACCGUGAGGGAAAGGCGAAAAGAACCCCGGCGAGGGGAGUGAAAAAGAACCUGAAACCGUGUACGUACAAGCAGUGGGAGCACCCUUUGGGUGUGACUGCGUACCUUUUGUAUAAUGGGUCAGCGACUUAUAUUCUGUAGCAAGGUUAACCGAAUAGGGGAGCCGGAGGGAAACCGAGUCUUAAUUGGGCGUUAAGUUGCAGGGUAUAGACCCGAAACCCGGUGAUCUAGCCAUGGGCAGGUUGAAGGUUGGGUAACACUAACUGGAGGACCGAACCGACUAAUGUUGAAAAAUUAGCGGAUGACCUGUGGCUGGGGGUGAAAGGCCAAUCAAACCGGGAGAU
RNAcentral lists this ribosomal RNA (811 nucleotides) under Salmonella enterica subsp. enterica serovar Enteritidis. Its description in RNAcentral is "partial 23S ribosomal RNA". It matches the Rfam family "Bacterial large subunit ribosomal RNA", at positions 1 to 846 of the family's 2925-position model. Lineage: Bacteria; Pseudomonadati; Pseudomonadota; Gammaproteobacteria; Enterobacterales; Enterobacteriaceae. The record is from RNAcentral.